GGCUUCCAUGAAGAGGGAUGCUGAGCAUUAUUCACGCCAACUAGUUGUAUGCCAGCUGCCAAGUUAAUGCGAGGUCUGAUUUGGUGAGAAAUGGCUGGUUGGUGUUGGAGAAGCUUCUUUCAUAAGUCUUGCAGGUCCAUUUAUUGACGACAAUGCUCCCAUUUCUCAGAGAACUGCCUGGCUUGCAACAUUUUAUAUGUGCAUACCCACUGGAAUUGCUGUUGGAUAUGUUUAUGGUGGA
Long non-coding RNA from Hibiscus syriacus, 241 nucleotides. RefSeq lists it as uncharacterized. The record is from RefSeq and is a predicted model, not a curated record. NCBI's taxonomy places the organism in Eukaryota, Viridiplantae, Streptophyta, Magnoliopsida, Malvales, Malvaceae. The transcript is spliced from 4 exons.